UGCAAAUACGUAUGAAUUUUAGGUUAUGUGUUAAUCGGGCUAUGUUAAUGAUUUAAUUUAUUUACAAUUGUUUUUUUCUUGUUUUUUCAGAACAAGGACAUAGUGUACAGGUUGAAUUCAUUGUUCUGGUGACAUCAAUAAUCUUGAUCUUAAUCUUAAUCUUGACCAUUUCUGUGAUUGGACGCCUUGUUAUCACAUGUUCUCGAACUCCAGCUGCUGCUGCCGUACAACAACAUAGAGGUGGUUGGAACAGUCAACAGAGAGAAGACGAGAACUGGGUUUAUUCUACUGUCGUCUUCACUGUGGUGAAAACAGACGGUGGUGCCACAACACACCCAAAAGCAACAGGAAGAAAGAGGUUCUUGCUGUGAAGGAUCUUGACUUUUAAUCCAAUCAGUCCAUUUUAUUGUUUUAUAUUGUACCCUUAUGCAGCUGAAAAGCAUCUUUGUUACAGUACUCUGUCAAAUCUCAUUAAUGAAACCUGCUCAAGCUUAUCUGAAGUAUUUACAACUGAACCUGUAUAUUAAUAUUUGAAUUUAUGCAUUUUGUUUCUCUUUAUAGUUAUUGUAUGAACAAUCAAUCAAAGGUUAAUUCAAAUA
Molecule: long non-coding RNA, 599 nt
Organism: Betta splendens (Siamese fighting fish)
Lineage: Eukaryota; Metazoa; Chordata; Actinopteri; Anabantiformes; Osphronemidae
Exons: 3
Source: RefSeq, a predicted model, not a curated record